RNAcentral lists this ribosomal RNA (368 nucleotides) under uncultured bacterium. RNAcentral describes it as "bacterial SSU rRNA". It matches the Rfam family "Bacterial small subunit ribosomal RNA", at positions 162 to 525 of the family's 1533-position model. The record is from RNAcentral.
GCUAAUACCGCAUACGAUCUACGGAUGAAAGCAGGGGACCGCAAGGCCUUGCGCGGACGGAGCGGCCGAUGGCAGAUUAGGUAGUUGGUGGGAUAAAAGCUUACCAAGCCGACGAUCUGUAGCUGGUCUGAGAGGACGACCAGCCACACUGGGACUGAGACACGGCCCAGACUCCUACGGGAGGCAGCAGUGGGGAAUUUUGGACAAUGGGCGAAAGCCUGAUCCAGCCAUGCCGCGUGCAGGAUGAAGGCCUUCGGGUUGUAAACUGCUCUUGUACGGAACGAAAAGACUCUGGUUAAUACCUGGGGUCCAUGACGGUACCGUAAGAAUAAGCACCGGCUAACUACGUGCCAGCAGCCGCGGUAAUA